This 297-nucleotide ribosomal RNA is filed under the name uncultured bacterium. RNAcentral describes it as "partial 16S ribosomal RNA". It matches the Rfam family "Bacterial small subunit ribosomal RNA", at positions 335 to 646 of the family's 1533-position model. The record is from RNAcentral.
AUUCCUACGGGAGGCAGCAGUGGGGAAUAUUGGGCAAUGGGCGCAAGCCUGGCCCAGCAACGCCGCGUGAAGGAAGAAGGCUUUCGGGUUGUAAACUUCUUUUCUCAGGGACGAAGCAAGUGACGGUACCUGAGGAAUAAGCCACGGCUAACUACGUGCCAGCAGCCGCGGUAAUACGUAGGUGGCAAGCGUUAUCCGGAUUUACUGGGUGUAAAGGGCGUGUAGGCGGGGACGCAAGUCAGAUGUGAAAACCACGGGCUCAACCUGUGGCCCGCUUUUGAAACUGCGGUUCUUGGG